AGCUCCAAUAGCGUAUAUUAAAGUUGUUGCAGUUAAAAAGCUCGUAGUUGGACUUGUGGUGGUUCCUGCGGUCCAAUUUUGGUACUGUCGGGGACCGCCAUCUUUGGGUGGAUCCUGUGUGGCAUUAGGUUGUCGUGCAGGGGAUGCCCAUCGUUUACUGUGAAAAAAUUAGAGUGUUCAAAGCAGGCUUAUGCCGUUGAAUAUAUUAGCAUGGAAUAAUGAGAUAGGACCUUGGUACUAUUUUGUUGGUUUGCGCACCGAGGUAAUGAUUAAUAGGGACAGUUGUGGGUAUUCGUAUUCCAUUGUCAGAGGUGAAAUUCUUGGAUUUCUGGAAGACGAACUAAUGCGAAAGCAUUUACCAAGGAUGUUUUCA
RNAcentral lists this ribosomal RNA (373 nucleotides) under uncultured eukaryote. Its description in RNAcentral is "SSU rRNA". It matches the Rfam family "Eukaryotic small subunit ribosomal RNA", at positions 587 to 972 of the family's 1831-position model. The record is from RNAcentral.